CGUCGACCUCCCCUUCUUCUUCCUACUUCUCUGGCGACGUGGCCUCCCCUUUUGAUGACGUGGGCUCCUCUUCCCGGCCGAUGCCCCGGAGUUGGCGGCGGUCGUGCCUUCCCCUUCGUCCCGGCCGGCGUUUGUGUCGGUUGAGGCACUUACGUCGUCUCCCCUCCAUCGUGGCAGACCAGGCCCAGCAGCGGCGGCUUCCUUCGCGCAGGUCGUCGGGCUCUCAGCGCCUCUUCUCCAGCAGCCUCAUCCCGACCGCGGCGGCCAUGGCAUGUUCGCUCUCCAGGGCGGCACCGCCCGACUUCCGGAGGCCAUCUCGCACACCAUCGUACCUGUGGCCGUCAUGAGAUUGACGAGAAACAACGGGCACACACAUGGGUCCAUCUAGAAUGCCUUGUGCAAUCACCAGGACGCAUCUCUGCCGGUACCGAGCGAAGCCAUACCACCACGUCUGGACCUUACUCCCCUGCAGCGGCGCCGGGAGGAGACGAAGUCCUCCGCCUACCGCGACCCAAUCCGCGUGCAGGUCAGUUUUCUCUGGCCAUCACAUGGCCGGUGUGUCCCGACCUCAUUCCCCAUGCCGUGCAGUUCGCAAAGGAUUGUGUGAAAGGUUUCGUAUAUAUGCCUCUGUUGUGUUUCUCUAAUUUCUUUACAGAAACCAUGUCGCUGCACUUUUUUUCAGGUUCUGUUUUUCCCCAAAUUGAUGUGCUUCUAGGUUAUUAGACCGAUGGAAGGAAAAAAAAAUAGAUUUCAUUAUGCGUGAUUGCUGCAGCAGCCGUGUCAGUAUACAAAUCUAGCAAUUGUUUUCAUUGAUGGAUGCAUGUAAUGAUUCUUUCAGUUAUGCAAUUUAUCGACAGUCAUGUGUGAAUCCCGUAAUUCCCGUGUGGCAAAUAGUUCAUGGUAUUUUUCAGUUACUUCCGAACAUCCUCUAUAUUUUGCUUACCAUGCCAUGCUCUAUGUUUCCAUUUUCCGAGAACAUGACAUGUCAAAAUGACCAGAAUGCCUUCAAACUGAUUUCCAUUAAGUAGUCAAAAUCUUCUUGCUUCAUUCUUCCCAAGGAAGCUAGAUAGAAAGCUCCACCUAUUAUUUAUUUUCUGGCGUAUUUAUUCUCCGAGAAAAGAAAAGCAUACAUGCUCAAUCACAUCCAGAGUUGCAAUAAUAUGUCAGUGCAUUAUUUUUUGCUUGCAAGUGACAUUAUUUCAGUGCCAACCUUGAUCCAUUUACUACUGAACAUUGUUGUUAACUAGCCAAUCCGUAAGUACUACAGGUAUUCUCUCCCUUUGUUUGGGGGUAUAUUUGCAUGUUUUGAUCAGUUACAUAGGAGACUGUUGGUUCUCUUUGUGGUUGCAUUUCUCCUCAGUUUCAAUUACUGGAUUGCACAACAAUGGCUGCUAUAUAUCUAUGGAUUUUUUUUGAUGCGUUAGUGCACAACUGUGUUCCUCUUUAUCCCUUCCUAUUAUUUACUGGCAAUUUUCACAAAGCAACUGAGGAUAUCAUAAUUGGCAAUUCACAAUAGAGAGAAACUAUAAAUUAUUAAAUGUUAUUGAAAAGAAAAUUCGCAAGAGAUCGAUCUACAUUAUCAGGUCCCUUUUAUUACUUCAAUAGGCAAGUGAAAAUUGCUUCGCAAGUUUGUAAACAGUGAAGCUAUAAAAACAGUAAUACUACCGCAGCAUUUUUACCAUUGUUGCAUCGAUAAGCAGGAAUGUCCAUAUCAUUUACUUUGUUUUCCUUAUCAGUUAUCAGUUGCAUGGAUAAGCAGGAGAUAUGUCCUGAAGUUAAAAUCCUCAGGUUCGAGCUCAUAUUAGCAACUGAUCUUCUCUCUCUCAUUUUCAAAUGAUUAUUAUCAAGGUUUGUACUCUCAUCUGGCUGAACAAAUUGAAGUUGGAGCCUUAAGCAAGCUUCAGUGCAGUUUUCCAACGAUGACCACUUGUGAGUCACUGUGAUGAAUUACCAGCCAAUAUAUCCCAUUGGGUAUUCCAUUAGAGAAGAACGAGGCAGCAGCACAAGGCAGAAAGGGAGACGUCACCAGCUGCUGCUAGAGACUCGGGUGCCCUCCCACGAUCCUGCAGCAGCUGAAGGCAGGGACGUGACCACGCCACCAGUUUCUUCGUCAUCGAGAAGCUGAAGCACCAGAUCCGCUGCUGCGAGCCUGUAGACGGCGAUGCGACUUCUUCGACGAGCAGCUGGAGCCUCAAAUCCACUCCGACCAUCUUGCGGCAGCGUAAGAAGGAAACAGUAGGAAUGUCGCUGAUUUCUUCAUUCUGAUCCACAAGCACUUCUGCUCCGGUGCUCCACCCUUGGCAAAAUUCUAGCCACGAUAAAAACAAGAACAGUGAAGAUCAAAUUCGGUUAGGGGGAAGCACUCAGCAGGGCUCAUGGGCAAGAGGCCCAAGCACUAGGUUCUUGUGCCGAGCCCGCAAGUUUGACCUUUAAUCUCAACCUCCCAGCGGAGGCCCCUGCACCAGGCAAGAACACCAUCUUCGAUAGCAAGCCAAGGCUCCAGCUCCGGCCCCUUCGCUGGCUUUCCCCACGAUGAACAUGUACCGGCCCGGGCAGACCAGUAGAAAGAUGUGUCGAUGCCGGUUGACCUCCAAUGUGUUAUGUUGUAAAUAUGUAGCCCUACAGCAUCAUCUAUUGCCCCUCAUAUUAAGACUUAAGUUAAUUUCUAACAAGCAUCUAAAUCGA
Molecule: long non-coding RNA, 2685 nt
Organism: Lolium rigidum
Lineage: Eukaryota; Viridiplantae; Streptophyta; Magnoliopsida; Poales; Poaceae
Exons: 3
Source: RefSeq, a predicted model, not a curated record